CCUACGGGAGGCAGCAGUGAGGAAUAUUGGUCAAUGGUCGGGAGACUGAACCAGCCAAGCCGCGUGAGGGAGGAAGGUACAGAGUAUCGUAAACCUCUUUUGUCAGGGAACAAAGACGGGGACGCGUCCCCGGAUGAGUGUACCUGAAGAAUAAGCACCGGCUAACUCCGUGCCAGCAGCCGCGGUAAUACGGAGGGUGCAAGCGUUAAUCGGAAUUAUUGGGGGUAAAGGGUGCGCAGGCGGGCUUGUAAGUCAGAUGUCAAAUCCUGGAGCAUAACUCCAGAUCGGCCGUUGAAACGGUGAGUCUAGAGUGUGAGAGAGGUAGGCGGAAUGCGCGGUGUAGGGGUAAAAUGCGUAGAUAUCGAGAGGAAUACUGAUUGCGAAGGCGACCUACCGGCACCUCACUGACGCUCAGGCACGAAAGCGUGGGGAGCGAACAGGAUUAGUUACCCUAGUAGUC
This 460-nucleotide ribosomal RNA is filed under the name uncultured bacterium. RNAcentral describes it as "partial 16S ribosomal RNA". It matches the Rfam family "Bacterial small subunit ribosomal RNA", at positions 338 to 795 of the family's 1533-position model. The record is from RNAcentral.